Molecule: ribosomal RNA, 499 nt
Filed under: uncultured bacterium
Lineage: Bacteria
Description: partial 16S ribosomal RNA
Rfam family: Bacterial small subunit ribosomal RNA
Source: RNAcentral
GACGAACGCUGGCGGCGUGCCUAAUACAUGCAAGUCGAGCGGACUUUCAAGAAGCUUGCUUUUUGAAAGUUAGCGGCGGACGGGUGAGUAACACGUGGGCAACCUGCCUGCAAGACGGGGAUAACUCCGGGAAACCGGGGCUAAUACCGGAUAAUAUCUUCCUUCGCAUGAAGGAUGGUUGAAUGGCGGCGCAAGCUGCCGCUUGCAGAUGGGCCCGCGGCGCAUUAGCUAGUUGGUGAGGUAACGGCUCACCAAGGCGGCGAUGCGUAGCCGACCUGCGAGGGUGAGCAGCCAGACUGAGACUGAGACACGGCCCAGACUCCUACGGGAGGCAGCAGUAGGGAAUCGUGCGCAAGAGACGAAAGUCUGACGGAGCAACGCCGCGUGAGCGAGGAAGGUCUUCGGAUCGUAGAGCUCUGUUGUCAGGGAAGAACAAGUACCGUUCGAAGAGGGCGGUACCUUGACGGUACCUGACCAGAAAGCCACGGCUAACUACGUG